AGUGAACGCUAGCGGUAGGCCUAACACAUGCAAGUCGAACGGCAGCACAGUAAGAGCUUGCUCUUACGGGUGGCGAGUGGCGGACGGGUGAGGAAUACAUCGGAAUCUACUUUUUCGUGGGGGAUAACGUAGGGAAACUUACGCUAAUACCGCAUACGACCUACGGGUGAAAGCAGGGGAUCUUCGGACCUUGCGCGAUUGAAUGAGCCGAUGUCGGAUUAGCUAGUUGGCGGGGUAAAGGCCCACCAAGGCGACGAUCCGUAGCUGGUCUGAGAGGAUGAUCAGCCACACUGGAACUGAGACACGGUCCAGACUCCUACGGGAGGCAGCAGUGGGGAAUAUUGGACAAUGGGCGCAAGCCUGAUCCAGCCAUACCACGUGGGUGAAGAAGGCCUUCGGGUUGUAAAGCCCUUUUGUUGGGAAAGAAAAGCAGCAGGUUAAUACCCCGCUGUUCUGACGGUACCCAAAGAAUAAGCACCGGCUAACUUCGUG
This 492-nucleotide ribosomal RNA is filed under the name uncultured bacterium. RNAcentral's name for it is "partial 16S ribosomal RNA". It matches the Rfam family "Bacterial small subunit ribosomal RNA", at positions 29 to 507 of the family's 1533-position model. The record is from RNAcentral.